This 404-nucleotide ribosomal RNA is filed under the name Actinomycetes bacterium. Its description in RNAcentral is "Actinobacteria bacterium partial 16S ribosomal RNA". It matches the Rfam family "Bacterial small subunit ribosomal RNA", at positions 355 to 776 of the family's 1533-position model. Lineage: Bacteria; Bacillati; Actinomycetota; Actinomycetes. The record is from RNAcentral.
UGGGGAAUAUUGGACAAUGGGCGCAAGCCUGAUCCAGCCAUGCCGCGUGAGUGAUGAAGGCCCUAGGGUUGUAAAGCUCUUUCACCGGUGAAGAUAAUGACGGUAACCGGAGAAGAAGCCCCGGCUAACUUCGUGCCAGCAGCCGCGGUAAUACGAAGGGGGCUAGCGUUGUUCGGAUUUACUGGGCGUAAAGCGCACGUAGGCGGACUUUUAAGUCAGGGGUGAAAUCCCGGGGCUCAACCCCGGAACUGCCUUUGAUACUGGAAGUCUUGAGUAUGGUAGAAGUGAGUGGAAUUCCGAGUGUAGAGGUGAAAUUCGUAGAUAUUCGGAGGAACACCAGUGGCGAAGGCGGCUCACUAGACCAUUACUGACGCUGAGGUGCGAAAGCGUGGGGAGCAAACAGG